GGCUUGUAGCCGCUAUUGAGAUCUGAGCUGCCCCCCCUGCAUUUUAAGAAUCCAAGACUGAAUUCACCUCCAAGACCAAGCCACCUGAGAAGCUGGGAUAUACAGACAUGGUGUGGCUUGCAUUUGUUGUUCUUCUUCUUAAUGAAGAACUAGAGUGAACCUGUCUUUUCCUAGCCAGGAAGUAAGUUUUCCAGCUGGUGAAUUUAAUUGCUCUAUCUUGGAUAAUGGAAAGGUGUCCAGAGAGUGUGACAGCCAUAGUUUUUGAUACACAUAGCUCAGACCUACUGGACCUGACAGUUUCAAUCCUCUAGGAUUAACAGAAGAAGAAGCAACAGAAGUGGCAGGGAGAGUAGACGCUGGGGCAUCAAUUGCUGCAGAGAGGAAGGUGUGGUGGCAAACAUGUUUGCUCUGGGUUUAAAUCCCAGCCCUGCAACUUUCCACUGGGCAACUUCAGGCAAAUUGUUUAAUCUCCCUGAGCCUUGAUUCCUUUAUCUCUUGUGAGGAUCAAGCAGAAGCCCAAGCAAGCGCAUAGCUUCAUCUAUCUCAAAAGAAGCAAGCAGAGAGGCUAAGAGAGAAGUCAGGCUAUGAUGACAGGCUGUUGGUCAACUGAUGAAUUAUUGGAAGUCUAUUACUGCAGGAACCAGGGGCCUAUUGUUUUAUGGAUACAAUUCAGGGGACCCAUGUAUUUGGAUGCAGAAAAUCAUCAUUUUAUUUUCAUAACCUCCUUCAUUUAUGGAUGCAGGAAUCAAAAACAUUUGUUAUCAAUACUUAUGACUAUGCUACUCAGAGAAAUCAGAGAUUUUUAAAAUUACAUAUUAAAGUUAUAUAUAUCCAA
RNAcentral lists this long non-coding RNA (835 nucleotides) under Heterocephalus glaber (naked mole-rat). Its description in RNAcentral is "lncRNA (ENSHGLG00100041491.1)". The record is from RNAcentral. Lineage: Eukaryota; Metazoa; Chordata; Mammalia; Rodentia; Bathyergidae.